RNAcentral lists this transfer RNA (74 nucleotides) under Asthenosoma varium. RNAcentral describes it as "tRNA-Thr". It matches the Rfam family "tRNA". From Rfam's summary of the family: Transfer RNA (tRNA) molecules are approximately 80 nucleotides in length. Their secondary structure includes four short double-helical elements and three loops (D, anti-codon, and T loops). Further hydrogen bonds mediate the characteristic L-shaped molecular structure. tRNAs have two regions of fundamental functional importance: the anti-codon, which is responsible for specific mRNA codon recognition, and the 3' end, to which the tRNAs corresponding amino acid is attached (by aminoacyl-tRNA synthetases). tRNAs cope with the degeneracy of the genetic code in two manners: having more than one tRNA (with a specific anti-codon) for a particular amino acid; and 'wobble' base-pairing, i.e. permitting non-standard base-pairing at the 3rd anti-codon position. Lineage: Eukaryota; Metazoa; Echinodermata; Echinoidea; Echinothurioida; Echinothuriidae. The record is from RNAcentral.
GCCUUAAAAGCUAAAAGCGAUGUAGCNCCUGGUCUUGUAAACCANGAGAGAGGGUUAAAAUCCCUCUNAAGGCU